GAUGAACGCUGGCGGCGUGCCUAAUACAUGCAAGUCGAGCGAACGGACGAGAAGCUUGCUUCUCUGAUGUUAGCGGCGGACGGGUGAGUAACACGUGGAUAACCUACCUAUAAGACUGGGAUAACUUCGGGAAACCGGAGCUAAUACCGGAUAAUAUCUUGAACCGCAUGGUUCAAAAGUGAAAGACGGUCUUGCUGUAACUUAUAGAUGGAUCCGCGCUGCAUUAGCUAGUUGGUAAGUUAACGGCUUACCAAGGCAACGAUGCAUAGCCGACCUGGGAGGGUGAUCGGCCACACUGGAACUGAGACACGGUCCAGACUCCUACGGGAGGCAGCAGUAGGGAAUCUUCCGCAAUGGGCGAAAGCCUGACGGAGCAACGCCGCGUGAGUGAUGAAGGUCUUCGGAUCGUAAAACUCUGUUAUUAGGGAAGAACAUAUGUGUAAGUAACUGUGCACAUCUUGACGGUACCUAAUCAGAAAGCCACGGCUAACUACGUG
RNAcentral lists this ribosomal RNA (497 nucleotides) under uncultured bacterium. RNAcentral's name for it is "partial 16S ribosomal RNA". It matches the Rfam family "Bacterial small subunit ribosomal RNA", at positions 28 to 507 of the family's 1533-position model. The record is from RNAcentral.